AAAUUGAAGAGUUUGAUCAUGGCUCAGAUUGAACGCUGGCGGCAGGCCUAACACAUGCAAGUCGAACGGUAACAGGAAGCAGCUUGCUGCUUUGCUGACGAGUGGCGGACGGGUGAGUAAUGUCUGGGAAACUGCCUGAUGGAGGGGGAUAACUACUGGAAACGGUAGCUAAUACCGCAUAACGUCGCAAGACCAAAGAGGGGGACCUUCGGGCCUCUUGCCAUCGGAUGUG
Molecule: ribosomal RNA, 232 nt
Filed under: Escherichia coli
Lineage: Bacteria; Pseudomonadati; Pseudomonadota; Gammaproteobacteria; Enterobacterales; Enterobacteriaceae
Description: partial 16S ribosomal RNA
Rfam family: Bacterial small subunit ribosomal RNA
Source: RNAcentral